RNAcentral lists this ribosomal RNA (477 nucleotides) under uncultured bacterium. RNAcentral describes it as "SSU rRNA". It matches the Rfam family "Bacterial small subunit ribosomal RNA", at positions 26 to 518 of the family's 1533-position model. The record is from RNAcentral.
AGGACGAACGCUGGCGGCGUGCUUAACACAUGCAAGUCGAGCGGUAAGGCUCCUUCGGGAGUACACGAGCGGCGAACGGGUGAGUAACACGUGAGCAAUCUGCCCUUCACUUUGGGAUAACUUCCGGAAACGGAAGCUAAUACCGAAUACGACCAUUACAGACAUCUGUUGAUGGUGGAAAGUUCCGGCGGUGAAGGAUGAGCUCGCGGCCUAUCAGCUUGUUGGUGAGGUAACGGCCCACCAAGGCGACGACGGGUAGCCGGCCUGAGAGGGUGACCGGCCACACUGGGACUGAGACACGGCCCAGACUCCUACGGAGGCAGCAGUGGGGAAUAUUGGACAAUGGGCGAAAGCCUGAUCCAGCAACGCCGCGUGAGGGAUGACGGCCUUCGGGUUGUAAACCGUCUUUCAGCAGGGACGAAGCGAGAGUGACGGUACCUGCAAAGAAGCACCGGCCAACUACGUGCCAGCAGCCGC